RNAcentral lists this long non-coding RNA (1055 nucleotides) under Pongo abelii (Sumatran orangutan). RNAcentral's name for it is "lincRNA". Lineage: Eukaryota; Metazoa; Chordata; Mammalia; Primates; Hominidae. The record is from RNAcentral.
GGUUGCAGGAGGGGACCAAUCAGAGGUACCUUCCAUUUUUCAUCUGCAACCAGGUGCAAAGUAAUGACAUGGAUCUGGAGAGAUUCUCUUAGGAGAGAAUCUGGCUAAGUGUCUAGCAGGAUAAUUGAUUAACAAGAUGUUUUGUUUUCAUCAUCUCAGAGAUAAGUACAACUAUUCUGUCAUCUAAUCUGCUAACUCCUACAUUAUCAAUACGCUUUAUUGAGGUAUAAUUGAUAUGCCAAAUAACUGGACACAUUCAACUUGUACAAUUUGAUGAGUUUGGAGAUACACAUACAUCUGUGAAACCAUCACCAAAAUCAAGAUGCUGGUGCCUGCAGUGGAAGCUGCUUGAGAUACAUCUGGUCCAGUCACAGCCUUGAUUGGAGCCAGUGCCUGUGCCAGCACUUGGAGCUGCCUGCCCCACCUCAGCAGCCAGCAUGCCUGAUUGUGCACAGAGGCCAGACCUGUGCUCACUCACUCACACACCCCUCACCACUCCGUGCCUGGCUCACCCUUGGCAGGCAUGGGAUCCCGGCCAGUGGCAUGAGCCAAAAACAGCCUGCUGGGCCAAGUGGGUAAAACAAACCCAGUGGGUGCGAGCAAGACUCAAGCAGAGGCACCACCAGCCGCAGAGGCACCACCAGCCGCUGAGGCACGACCAGCCACAGAGGUUUCUGGCUGGCGAAGCAACACCUGAAGAAUCCUAUGACAUUUUCCUGACUUUGAAAUUUACCCACUUAGUCAAGAAAAUAUGAAGCUAUUCAUUCCCUUUACUUGUCUAGCGGAAUAUUUCCACAUAGAAGAUUUUAGUCUUUGUCAUCAAGACUGCAUAACAUUUAACACCCCUUCCACCACAUCAAAAUGCUACUUAUACAUACAUAAUAAACACUCAGAGAGGAAUGCUGCCUUAGACAUCAUCUUUUCUUCCCUCUGUCUAAAGCAUGAAUGUCCUUAGAUGUUCAUUCAAAAUUAGUGCCAGGGAGUGCUAUUUGGCAAGGCCACUUGGAAUAUAGUAAUUAAUUAGAGUGCGUUUAUUAAAUUAAGCUGAAACUAUC